GAGGAAUUCGGAGGAGCAGAAGUUCGGCGAGGGCUGCCAGCGGUAGAGCGACGGGCUGCUGGAGUGGAUUCACCUCACCCUAGCUGGUGAUCCUCGUCGACCAGCACCAGCGCGAAUGGGACGCCCUCCGUCCCCUGGUCCAGUGGGCAUAUCGUGCAGCAGUGCAGAAAAGCACCAGCUACCCUCAUGUUAGGCUGGAAGAAGCUACAACCAGGAGAACGAGGAUUGCUAAUACGCCCUGUCGGGGCCAGGAAUCGGACAAAGGAUAAACAAAGAGCAUGCAAAAGAAUAUGAAGAAAGAGGGCGUGCAAAGUAAGAACUGCUAUUUCAGAGAUGGAGGAGAAGAGAAAGCCACGCAGUUCAGCUCUGCUGUCUCACUGGUCUGCAGUGACAGGGCUGACUGAGCAGAAUCCUGCCCACCGUUCACAAAACUGCAGCUCCAUAAUGCUUCAGAAGGAAAUGAUUCCCUCUUCAACGCCAGCUGCAGCCAUUUUACUUGGUCAGCCAUCUUCUCUUUUCAUAUCGCCAUGCAUAAUAACUUCUGCCAAACACUUCCUCCACCAGUAUAAACUCAAAUAUCAGUUUUCUCUCCACCCGGGCAAACCCCUUCACUCACAAGUCAUGUCACACCUUUUUUGUUACACACAGACUUGUGCUCAUUUGACUUGGGUCAUUCCGAUUUGCUGCCUGGAUCU
Molecule: long non-coding RNA, 695 nt
Organism: Brienomyrus brachyistius
Lineage: Eukaryota; Metazoa; Chordata; Actinopteri; Osteoglossiformes; Mormyridae
Exons: 3
Source: RefSeq, a predicted model, not a curated record